RNAcentral lists this ribosomal RNA (468 nucleotides) under uncultured eukaryote. Its description in RNAcentral is "bacterial SSU rRNA". It matches the Rfam family "Eukaryotic small subunit ribosomal RNA", at positions 81 to 527 of the family's 1831-position model. The record is from RNAcentral.
CGGAAACUGCGAACGGCUCAUUAAAUCAGUUGCGAUCUACUCGGCGUUCCGCGCCGCCGGAUAACCGUAGUAAUUCUAGGGCUAAUACGUGCGAAGCGCCCGAAGCCGCGAGGCGACGGGCGUUCUCGCCGGAUGUAGGAACCGACCCGGGGACCGCCGGGGCAACCCGGCGCCCCCGAGACGGGGCGAACCACGGUGAAAUGACGGAUCGUCGGCCCCGCGCCGGCGACUCGCCGAAUGAGUUUCUGACCUAUCAACUCGAGACGGCGGGGUAGAGGCCCGCCGCGGUAACGACGGGUAACGGGGAAUCAGGGUUCGAUUCCGGAGAGGGGAGCCCCGAGAAACGGCUACCACUUCCAAGGAAGGCAGCAGGCGCGCAACUUACCCUAAUCUCGAUUCGAGGAGGUAGUGACAAGAAAUACCGAUGCGGGACCCUACGGGUGCCGCGUUCGGAAUGAGUACGAUUCG